GCAGCACCUAAGUUGACCUUAGGUCGGGUUCGGGAGUUGUGGUCUACUUUAUUGUAUCAUCAGUUUCAUCCUCUAAUUUAUUGUCAGAUUUUUAUAUUUUUGAUUAUACUAUAUUAGUUAAGCAUUAUGAAAUGUCAGUGAUUUUUUUUUUAAAUAUCUAAGAAAUAAAAUAUCUAGAUUACUAGUAAAAUCAACUAUUCUUGAUAUUAAAGCACCAGUCCCCGGC
This 226-nucleotide long non-coding RNA is filed under the name Elaeis guineensis (African oil palm). Its description in RNAcentral is "long non-coding RNA (EGUI_LNC072527)". Lineage: Eukaryota; Viridiplantae; Streptophyta; Magnoliopsida; Arecales; Arecaceae. The record is from RNAcentral.